UGGCAAAAACUAUAGCUGUUGGGUGAUUUGGGUGACUGCUACAGUCACGUGACUGUGGCCCAAUGCAGAACCGGAAGCAUUGCAAAAUUGCCUAAGUCCUACACCCCUGCAUGUUGGGGCCAGUGCCACGUGGCUGUGCGGUGUCCACAAAAGAGUUAAUCGGCGUAUGUUUGCAAUGAUGUGAUGUCACUGUUGGAGAUAACAGGACUGGAUCAGUGAACCAAAAGGUCUGCAGCAGUCCCGCAACAUGUUUCUGCCUCUCUCCCCCCCGCCCCAUGAUCAACCAAUGAGAGUCUAUUCUGAUGAUGUAACCAAUAUAAUUUGAUACCCUCCCCGGGGCACGUGGGGGUGGGGUCCUGGUUAGCUAGUUCCACCAAAACUUUUUCCCUCUAUAGUUUGCUUUUGCAUUUUUAAUUAAGUGCGGUUCAAUCAAUCCCUUGUAAACAGUUUUAUUUGCUUACUUUGAGGCCUUUGAUCCAAAUACCGCAUUGCACCAGGGCAUUUUGGGAAAGAAUAGAUGUGGCCAGAGCCCUGGGAACAUGUUGAUUUUGGGCAAGAUGAAUCAAGUCACGACUGUCGCGUGACUUCUAAAUGCUGCUUCAUAAUCAGAAACAGAAGGUUAGUUAUGGUAGUAAUUGCUCAUCUAAAUAUUGACUAGCCUGAUGCCGCUCAGCUUACGUCUUGUGUAUUGGGAGACAUCCAGAAAGGCUUUGGGAAUUGUUACAAUAAUAGGGUAAUAAUAAUAUGCAACUGUAAGAGAGUUUAUGGCUGCGUAAUGAAAAUAAAUGCUGAAAGGGCCCCUUAUGACCAUCUAAGUUGACCUCCAGCAUAACGACAGGCCAGCUGGCCUCACCUAGUCAUCACUGCUUCUGCGUGAGCUGCAGUAGACCUCUCAGAAAGAAAGCCAGCUUGCAAAGCCUUCAAGUAAAGGACUAUCCAAUACGUCUGAAAGAUCAGCCUCCCAGUGUCUGUGGCAAAAUAUUUCUUAUUCUCCAGCAGUUUGGUUCUCAAUGCCAAGCAAAGGUUGGUUUCAAAGGGUGAAGAGGAGGAUGGACUCUCCGAAUGCUGGAGGAAUAGUCUUGUUUUCUUUACCUGUAAAUCUGCAUCCUUCAACUUGCCAGCUGAGUGUCUGCUUCCUUCCACCGGCUUCCCAGCAGUGCCUGUCCAAGCGCUGGAAUUCCUCUCCUUUUGGUCUCAAGUUCAUGGUGCCAGAGCCACAAUCGUGUUACGGGCUUCAAAGGACCAAGUCCUAGGCAGGAAGCUGAUUUGGAAGGUGGCUGUGGCAUUCUGUACCUACCUUUACAAGGCAGUAAAGGGUGAGCAAAAUUUGCUUUGACAGGUAUAUUAAGUCUUGCAGCUUUUCAAAGGCUUCCUCUGAUCCAGCAUGACAUGCCUGGAUGCUGGUACUCGGAGCUGGCCUGUGCAGUUUGUCAGAAGGGCAGGAGCGGGCAGUGCAAACUGUGAGGAGUCACACUGCGAGCUUGUCUGGCUGUCUUGCAUGCUGAAUAAUGGCUAUAUGUGCAGUCCACCCGCAGCUACUGUUUUCCACAGCAUACAACCCAAAGGCUGCCCUUGAGGGUUAUCGUGAACCCCAGAGCCAGCGUCAAAGCGAUAGCUGGAGAAACCAUUUGACAAAUUGAAGCAGGCACAAAACAAUCCCCUUCCAAGAUCAAAGUAAGUGACACUGCUUUUCCUUUAACACCAGGCAGGAAAAUUAGCAGCUACACCCUCCCUUCAAUGGGAGCCAACCUCCAUGAAGAAGUUAAAAGUGGAAAGGUUCAGUGAUUGACACAUAGGGUCAGUGAAGUUACGCUGGGAACAAAUCUGUUGUUACUGGUGUUUCCCCGUUUUUCAGUUGAACCUCAGCUGAAUGCAAGGAGGCAUAAAACCUGAAAAAAAAUAAUGACAAUUCCAAACACCUAAAGGACUGCAUUUAUCUCCUGGCUUCUAACUCUGGAUUUUUUUUCUUUUAAAGCUAGCAAGGAAAGAUGCCAUAUUGAAUUGCUAGUGUGUAUUUUUUUUAAAUAGCUGAAUUGAAUCAUUGCUUUCUCAUGCAGGGCACCUGGGCUGUUUUGUAUUUUAAUUCCAUGUUUGUAAUUACUCCGGUUCAGGUUUUCUAUUUUACACCCUGGUGAUUUAGUCUCAGCCUCCUUUUAAUCUGUAUGCAGCAUGCAUGAGUGAUGUGUAGCCCAAGAGAUGUCUGUAUUUAAAAAUGUACUCUAAUAUACCCCUGUGUUAAGGGCAGAAGUAUGAAUUCCUCUCCUCAGCAGCCUGGGCAUUAGGGCUGCCUGUAGGGUGAUCAGACGUGUAUGUGUGUCUAUAUGUGUCUAUAUAUUGCAUCCUUACAAAGGAGCUGUUUCUAAUGAGCAGGAAUUCAUGGAAGCUUUUCUCUUCCCCCUGCAAAUUAGGUACAGUACCAUUCAGCUUACAAGCUUUGGGUGGGGAUGGGAAAGAGAAGUGUCCCAUGCAGUUUAAUUGGAUCCAUCUGCCAAGUUUUGCAAGAUUUUCUCAUUCCAUGGGACCUUUUCUAGAAGGGGUGUGAAGUGAUUAGGAUUAUGAAUGUGACCCUGUGACUCCUGCUAAAGAAAAGUAUUUUACUGAUUGAUAGCAGCUGAGCACUGUGCAUUUUCCCUAUUCUAAAGUGGCACCGACCAGUUUGAUGAUGGACUCCAGCUGGUAUAUGGAGUUGAUGGGAGACCUGGGAGGAGAACCCUGAUGUCCUAGCCCCAGUGUCCUGAUCUAACCAUUAGUUAACAUAGCUCUCCCAGAAAAGCCCCUUGGUGGAGAUGGAGCUUUUUUAGCAGCAAAUGGCUUUCUUGUGCCAGUGAAGUUAAAGCACCUCCUUGAACGAUACAAGCUGUGGCAAAAAAAAGUUUUCUGCCUGUAUUAGUCUUACCUGUAUGGGCUGCGAGAGGGUGCCUCACAGCUCUGCCAGCUUGAAUCCUGGAAAUACCAUCACAGAAAACAGAAAAGGGAGGAAUCUCGAGAGGUCCUCCAGUGCCCCACCCCCAGCCCGAGGCAAAAUCAACUAAGCCUCAGCUAUUUGGGACAGAUGUUUUUCUAUCUUGCUCUUAUUAAACCUCCAGUGAUGGAGAUUCCCCAGGUUCCCUAAGGAGUCUGUACAAUACUGAACAAUCCUUACCAAUGCAUGUCUAACUUGCAUCUUCUUUCUUACAGUCCAAGCCCAAGGUGACUGCGCUCAGUGCACAUGGGGAACAGACCGUAUGGACUCGGAAAAAGUUUUAUAACCUUUCUGUUUUCAGGGUCCCUUUCUUUGGGGCGGGUGGGGAGGGGAUUCCAAACUGCUAUUCAACAUAACUAAGCCAGGAAAACCUCAUCACGUGGGGCAGACUAUCACGUGGAGCAAUGUCACAGUAACUUAGCCCUGUUCCGUGGAAGAGUAGGCUACCACGGGUUAGCUAUCUCUUAUUGCAGGCUGAGAGUGGGCAGACAAACAGGUCAGCUGCUCUGCAGUAUGUCUUUACACCUUUUAACUUGCUGUAACUCAUUUGUCCAUAACCUGAGUCCUGCGUGAGCAAGCUGCUCCAGGAACUUCUGCUCGGAGUUUCUCCAGAUUUACGACAGCAUAUGUAAGAGCUGCUUCUGAUCUUUGUUUUCCCACUUGUUGAGUGGUGAACAGAUUUACAACAGUGUUUCAUUUGGCCCCUGAGAAGUUUGGAGAUUGUGUGGGGGUAAAUGAAGUGUGUGGCUGGUGGUUUAUUUUACAUCCUUCUGCUGCUUUGUUGUCCAAUCCUGUCCCCUUGCAACCUGCUGGGGGGUAAGGUACGUUCCUUUUGUACUCGCUGGGUGCAUCGACAUGAGACAAUUACUGUGAAGUUGACUAACUGGCUCCGCAGUAAAACGUCACCAUCUACAUAUGCAGUGCUACUAGGAUGGAGUUAACUAAUUAACCCUGUUGUAGGAUAGUACUGCCAGACACAAGUACUAUCCUACAGUAGAGUUAUUUACUUCACCGCAAGGCAGGUGUAGAUGCUGACGGGGCUGGCUGGGACAUGAGGGUGUGUCCCCACCUGAUCUUGUAUAGGCGCUCUCUGGUGGCCUUCGAGCGCUCACUCGGCUCCAGCUGAGGGGCGUGUCCCUGGGACCUAGGUGUUAGGUCGCGUUCCACUCUGAGGGAGACCCUGACACUCGUCUGCCAUGACUUGGUCUUCUUUUCUUCAGUUGUGAGGCUCCUUCUCAUGGAUUCUCAGGGACUGGGUACUACCCGCUGUAGGAGUUCUUGGGCAUCCACCUCCCCUACACCCCACCCAUGCGCCAGCCCUCAGGAUCUCUGGAUGUUGGGUUGCCGGCCUGUCCCCUGUGAUGUCCUCAUCUGUCUCUUUAUCACCUUGUCCGUCCCUGGAUGACUUGCCUGCACUGGAUGACCGCAAGGCGUGAGAUCGUCUUUAUCCUUGCACCUGAACUUCCUCUGAGGCUCCUGCAAAUCGAUCUCUCUUUAUGACCCUGGACCCAUGGAGAGUCUUUCCCUGGUCACAACUCUGAGUGCCCUCCAAAAUAAAGUGAAACAAAGAAAGAAAUAACUAAAGGAUCAGGGUGCGGGUCUCUGCCCACCCCAUUCACAGGUCCAACAUCUGUGGUCCUUCCAAUCCCUCGAUGCCGUCCCUCUUUGUCCCCGUUGUCCUGCCAAGCUGGGUGUGAGCCUUCUCAACGUAGCUGAGACCCCUCCAGAGGGUCUCUGUCCUGCCCCUUCCAGAGCUGCCCAUCUUCUUGAGAUGCAGCCUGGGGAAUAGCUUCACCCUCGGGCAUCCUUGCUGUCUCCCCAGCCAUUUCUCUGCCGCCGGCUUUUGAAUUCACUGGGCAGCGUUUUUUUCUGAUGUCAUCUGCCAGUGGUGCCGCUAGCCGGCAAUAAAAGCAGCUGAUGAACUGUGCCGGCAGCCCUUCUCAGCACAACUCUCUUUUUUCUGUGGGUGGUAAGUAUGCCCUCUUUUCUGGGCUUUCUCUUUUCCUGGGUGGGUUGACCCUGCCUCGGGUCCUGCCCUGGGACAGGGUGCUUCAGUGGGGAGGCUGCCUGCUGACUAGCCCUACACUGAAGCACCCUUGUGCCCCAGCCAGCCCCUUCACGGCAGGUUGAGCUGGGUAGGAGCAGCCCCAGGUUGGCAGGAUGACCCCUUGGGGCCCCUGCUAGGCAGAGCUGCUCCACUCCGGUUCACCCUGUCGCGUUCAAUACCGACAAGUGCAGGUACUGCACUUGGGCAGUAAGAACCAGCAGCAUACCUAUAGGCUGAGGAACUCCUUUCUCGAAAGCACAGUGGCAGAAAGAGAUCUUGGAGUCAUUAUUGAUUCCAAAAUGAACAUGGGCCGCCAAUGUGAAGACGCGGUCACUAAGGCCAACCGCAACUUGUCAUGCAUCCACAGAUGUAUCACAAGCAGGGCCAAGGAGGUGAUCCUCCCCCUCUAUGUGACACUGGUCAGGCCACAGCUGGAGUACUGCAUCCACUUUAGGAGAGAUGUGGCCAGCAUCAAGGGGAUCCAGAGGAGAGCCCCUCACAUGAUCCGGGGACAGCAGGGCAGAUCCUAUGAGGAGAGGCUGUGGGACCUGAACCUGUUCAGCCUUCACAAGAGAAGGCUGAGAGGGGACCUGGUGGCUGUCUAUAAACUUACUAGGGGGGACCCCUGUUCCCCUGACCACCUCCCAGAGUAACAAGGAAUAACUGCCGUAAGUUGUUUGAGAGUAGAUUCAGGCAGGACGUUAGAAGGCACUAUUUCACAGUCAGGGCAGCUAGGAUCUGGAACCAACUUCCAAGGGAAGUGGUGCUGGCUCCUACCUUGGGGGUCUUUACGAGGAGGCUUGACAGUUACCUAGCUGGGGUCAUAUGAGCCCAGUAUUCUCUCCUGCCCAGGGCAGGGGGUUGGACUUGAAGAUCUACUUAGGUCCCUCCAACCCUACAUCUAUGAACAUGCUGCAGUCCCAGACACAUAUGCAAACUUGGUGCCCAAGAACAAUAAACUCCGGCGUGAACUGCACCAGAGUCUAUUCGGCUGCAUUAAGUGCACAUGUAGAUGUGCCCACUGAAUGCCAAAUCGGUGCUGAUUACACUACUCUUCCCUAGAGAGUGGUAGUUCACUGCAUUAGCCUGAAGUUUGGCACAAAAAGGGGGUGGGGUGGCACCUUAUAAACUAACUCAUUCAGAGGCACGAGCUUUCAGAGGCUGCAGCCUACUUCGUCAGAUGCUAUGAAUGGACUUGCUACUCUGCCAUAUCGGCCUGUUCACGGCCACGUAAAAAUGCAUGUUGUGGCUUAGAGACAUACAUGAGCAUUUGCACCCAGCACUUUAUCCACUACUGAAGUGUGGCCACCUCUGGGGUGAAGCAUGGCAGUCGUUCAGCAGCAUGCCGCAAUAGUGACACUGUUCAGGACGGGAAGCAAAGGCUAUUGUACCUCUCAAGAACUAGAGGGGGAAAAGAAGUGCUGCAGACAGCACGGGAUUUGGCUGCUGUGCUGGUAGCCCAGACUACCAAGAGCUGACUUUUAAAAAGACCUUUUUAAAUAGGAAACAUUUUUUUUUAAUUGCAUGAAAUAAAACUUGGACGCCAACAUGUGCAGCUGUGGGAAAAAAAAUGUUUCUCUUUUGUGUCUUUGGCUAUGAUUCACCUCGCUCAUUAUAAAUGUUAAGUAGUAUUUUUUUUGUCUGGUUCUACUCAUCUGACACAGGAAAUUGCACCCUGGAAAUGUGAACUCUGCACUGUCUCGCUCCCACUGUAUUGGUUAAUGCCUGUAGAGGGAAAAGGGUAAUUCCCUCAUUUGGCAAAGCAAUGUAUAGCAAAGUGCUUCAACACCUUUUACUCCCCUCUGUAGGGAACAGAAAUAUAUUUAGCUGCUGAAGCAUCUUCCCUGCUAACCUUCUCUCUCCCCAUUUUUUCCCCCCAUGCACUUUUGGCCUCAACUGAAACCACUUUAAAUUCUGCUUACAUUGGAAGUCUCUGGGUAAAGUGCUCGCUGCGCUCCAGCUUACAGUACCCACACGGAGCAUUUGAGACAUUUAUCCUAAUCAAUAUUCUGGCAGUUUGAGAUCACUAACGAACAUGGUUGAUGUCAUCUGAGCCAGGCCUCCCAAAUACUCUGGAACCUGUAUAUUAAUCUUCACGUAAUUGCCCACAGGCACCUGCUGACCGACAUGGCCCUGCAGAACUUUAGUGCCUUUCCUGCUAAGGGAAUCAUCAGCAUCCUUCUCUGGGCUGGUUCAAGCAUCCCUUUCCUCAGCUGUAAUGGCCCCAGGAGACAUCAACCAAGGCUGAGGUUCUGGCCCACUGACUUCACUGGGGAACCUCUCCUUUUGCUCUGGUUAGGAUCAAACAUGCAGACAGCAACAUUAACUUCUUCGAUAUAUGGGGGUCAAUCCUUGUCCCAUGGGACAGCCUUUGGCUAUUGACUCUAGUAGAAUCCGGAUGCAAUCCAAGGUGUUCAGAUUCAGUUGUCUCUUGCUGGAAAACUAAGGCUACCUGAACUGCAAAGAACAUAUUAACGUGUCUUUUGGGUUUUUUUUAAAAGAGCCCUCUAAAAUAUGCAAGCAAUUUGCUUCAAUUUCUAGCUUCAUGCACUAAACAUCAUUGAAAUCUAUCCCCAGUAGGGGCGCCCUCUUUACGAUCAGUACUGGAGUGGUUAACAUUUCUAUGGAAGCCAUGAUGAAACUGCAUAUUAAAUAACAGAAGUGAUAGUUCGGAGUGUGCAUUUAUUUGGAAGAGAUCACAGCUUGUGGGGCAGACAUAAACCGUAAGCCCUGUGAGGCAGGUAGUGAAAACGCGUCACCGUUUUUCAUCUUCAGCCAAAACACGGAGCAGAACUGACGGGAUUUUUUCCAGUCUGUGGACAAUGAAAGGAGAAUAUUUUUCCUUCACGUUCCCACUUGAGGACUGACAUUCUUCCUGGCAGUUAACAGAGUUAUAUGUGACUUGCUGUCCUGCCUUGAAGUCCUACUCUUAGAAGUCGGUGAAAGAAGGGCACAUUGAUAUGAUGGAAGACGAUCGGGCCGAGUAUGAAAUCCACAUCUGCUUCUUUCACAACGUCCUCAAAAUGACCGUUCCUUAGAAGAGGGCUGCAUGCAAAGAUUGGCUAAGGCAGAUGAAGGAUUUGUGCUGACAGCGUAUUGCACAGAUCAUCAGCAAGUGAGAACAGGAGGAAUGGACUCACCACUUGCAAGACUGUUUUAGUGACUAGUUCUCGAAUCCUUCCCCGGGGUAUCACUCCUGCUGUCCAAUGUGGCGACGUCGGUGAAUUCUUUGCCAUUUCUUUGUCACUGCCAGCUGUUUGUGCAGAGGAUAAAAGCUUGGCCUUCCAAGGGCUUUGUAGACAUGGCAAAGUUUUAUAGCAAUCCUGAGACCAUCUGCAUAGCAAGACUUCCUAGCUGUCACCGAGCUGUACAAGCGGGAACUACCUUGUAGAUCAGGACUAGAACGUGUAACCUCCUGCUCCAGAGCGCCUUGAGCUAAACGAGAAUUUUGCCUUUGUUGCCGAGUUGUGAGAGGCAUUGAUUUUUGGUUCACUGACGGAGACAAGCAAAUUCACUUUGUGUUGACCUGGAACAUUUCUUUCAACUCAAAACAAAAUAUUUUGUGCUGUUUCUAGGGGCUUAUGAUUUUUUUAACCUUUUCUCAUUGUUCCAUUUAGGCAAGUUUUGAAAUGAAACCUCAUUUCAAAACAGCAAGUUGAAAACGUUGCGUCUUGAAAACUACUUCAACUUCUUCAAAUGAUUUGGUGGGGCAAAAGCUAUUCAUCAAAUCCAGGAGUUGUGAUGUACCUCCGAGUGCAUGUUUUGUGGAAAUUAAACCAUUCAUCUGCAAAAUCAUAAUCCUACUUAGCUCUUCUUGUAGGGCCGUCUUGCAGCUUAUUUCUGAACCCAGGCAGAUGAGAGCAAUGCUACAUAUGCCCACUACUUAAUUCAUUGCAACAUAGGUAUUUUCAGUUGACAUAAGGGAGCAAACUGCAGCACAAAUGUUAAGAGAGCACGCACAGCCAGAGCUGAAGAAAGGAUCAGAAGGGAGGAAUCCCUGCUUCUCAAUCCCAAGUUAAAACCAGAGCUUCGUCCACCUCUACUUUUAUCAUGCAAAAUUGGUCGAUGCCAACUUCAGCUAAGCAGGUUUGAUUUCCGUAUUAGGAUUUCAAAAUUCAUGUUCCCAUGAGCUGUAUUUCAGUUCAGCUUUUUUUUUCCUGCAUAACACUGGAGAAGUGGUAUCGCUGAGUUUGGGAAAGAGUUCCAGAAAGCAGCUCCUCUUUCUUCACAGAUACCUCCUGUAGCAAGCUGUAAGGCACAGGUGGCAUAAGACAGAAACGGCUGGAUUGCAGUGCGGCGCCUGUUCCUCACGGUACAUGGGAGAUGAUGCAUGCAUUGCCCAAGGGAUAUCAGAUGUUAUGUUUGGGACAAAAACUUCAGAGCUGGCUAGGAAGUCUGGAUGCUUUGCUUGAGAUACCUUGAACCUGAUUUUCAGAGGUGCUGAGUAUCCUACUUCCCCUGCAACUUCAGUCUGUCUGACCCCCAAAAGUUGGAUUGAGUGCAGCUCAAAACACCCAAAAAUGUUUGCCUCCAGUUUCACUAGUCGUUUCCAAAUAUGUUGACAGUAGGAAUGAAGAAACAGGCAGGCUGCCGUGUGGCUGAACUAGUACAAGGAGAAGGAAAGAGUGCCGUUUUGACGGAUUUCCUCCACACAAUUCCCCCUGCUGCAUAUCAGGUUUUGCUUGUUUUUUGUUCUUCUGUUUCCUCUCGCAGGGGUUGUUUGAGCCGUUGACACAAGAUAACCUUAUCAUAUUUGCACCAGGCCCCUCGUAAGACAUCUUUUUUUCUUCAUUUCUACAAAAUUGUAGUUUGUAAGUGCUACGGGUGGGGAUUUGACAGUGUGCAAGUGUCUGUCUGUUUUGCUGGCAGACAAGCGCCACUUGAAUUCUUCCCGAGACUUGUAUACCCCCAGACUGGCGUCUAAACUCAGAUUACCAGUAUCUUCUAGAGAGUGAAAAGCAAGCCAACAGGCUCUUCAAGUCAGAGAUUCUGGCCCUCAGUGUACUUCCUUCUGCUCUGUGCAGUCUGCAAGUUUUCAGGCAGGUCCUCAGAAACGAAGUUUCAUUUGGUUUGCAUGAACUGAAGCUCUGGGCCACUGGUUUUCCCCCGUCUCCACACACAGCACCGCCUGUUUUUUCUCCAUUUGGUUGGUUUUUAUUUCAGAUUAAGAAAAGCAACAGCUAGCAACCAAGUGCAAGCGAGGGAGAGAAAACACCAGCAAUUCAGUCCAUAUUACACGUUAUCUGAGCUGAUCUCAAAUCCCACCUCGCCGCUGCCCUUCGAGACAGGCAAAAUGCUUCAGAAAUGUAAAGGCACCACACAGAGAGAAAACCAAGUUGCAGCAGUGCUUUAGCUCUGUGAAUGCAAUGAAUGAUCAGCCUAUUUGUUUUGAGGGACAGCUGUUCAGCUGGAAAGCUGCAUCGUGGCUCUGCAUGCUAACUGCAUUCGGUAACUUAGCUGACAUGACUAGGUGUCCUCCUUGCCAAAGUUACUGCACCAGAUAUCCAUCCAGAUGCCUCCUGCACUCCCAGCCACAAAAGGCUAUGGGAGCCUUGGGGUCACGCUUCUUUCUCAGAGACUGUAGGUGAUCUCAGUGUGGUGCAAGGUUUGGGAUAGGAUUUCAACAUUCACCAGCUGGUCCAAACAUGGAGAUUUCUUUAUCAGAUCCCCAGCCUGAUCAAAUUAUGGACUCGUGUUAAGGUAACCUUGGAUGGAUGGGGAUACGUAUUCCCUCUAUAACUAGAGCCCCUUGCAUGGGGAAGGUAGGGAGGUAGGGUACAGUCCCUUCUGAAAAAUUCCCCUUGGAAAAAACAGCACAAACUGGGAAGAGCCAGCAGCCAUCCAGCACAGCGGGAGCCCUCCUUACCCAGCAGGCACUCAUCUGCUCAUAGGAUCAGGCCGCAAAAAGCUGAGCAGCAAAUUAGGCUAAGUGCCAGGGUUCUGUGUCAGAAAUCUUUUAAUGAUGUGCUGAAAGAUGGCACCUUCUUCUGUCAGCUGUGAGGCUUGUUCUUUUGGAGGCAAAGGACCUUUUUAAACAAGAAGUAGCAAUCCUACCAGAUUUCAGUUGUCACGAUCCAUCCUCUGUAACAGAUAGCAGCAAAGCAUUAGGCAUCUGGUUUACGGAGCCUGGUUACCCUGCUUUAAGUAUACACUUAGAUGUAGUAUCCCUGCCAUCCACAUGAAACAGGACUGUUCUUUACAGUAGCAACCACAGCACAAUAAAAUCCGUCUGCCAGCUCCACAGCGCUCUUAUACCAUCUGCCUUAUAGCCUCUUCUUGCUAUUGUGUUUGGAAAUCAUAGAGUUGAUGCUUCUGGGUGGGGGGUUGUUGGCUACAAACCAGAAUGAUGCUGCAGCAUAAGAGACAGAUCCCAACUGCUCCUGCAGCGAGGACUGGGGUGUUUUCCGGAACGAGAGAGAAAUUCACUUGUCUUUUAAAGAGGGGCUGGAGGCUUUACAAAUAAAUGUAAUUAUCUCAGCAAACUAUUUUGCCUCGAGUACUAUCCAUCACGCCGGAGUUUUCCUUCUCCUAUAACUGUAGAUAUUACCUUCUGUUUUUCUCAUGGCCAUAAAAAGGUAAUUCUCUUCAAAUGCUUUCUUCCAGUCCUGCUAAAAAUAAGGAUCACCCUACCACUGCACCCCCUCUUACAGUAAUUAUGCUUCUGCCUUAUACCUCUAUCAAUGAUCAUUGCUCAGGUUUACAUGGAUUAGGCCCCGACGGAAUGACAGCUGUGUGCAGAGGCUGGAUUCCCUGUGUUGUUACAUGUCCUAAAUUGUUUUAGAAAUGUAAUUAAACAUUUAUCUUGACGAGAAUGCCCUGUCUUUAAAAGAGAGGAUAUCUUAUUUGAACCCAAUUAAAAAAUAAACCGUCAGCUUUUAAAUA
Long non-coding RNA from Alligator mississippiensis (American alligator), 11891 nucleotides. RefSeq lists it as uncharacterized. The record is from RefSeq and is a predicted model, not a curated record. NCBI's taxonomy places the organism in Eukaryota, Metazoa, Chordata, Crocodylia, Alligatoridae. The transcript has 2 exons.